This 876-nucleotide long non-coding RNA is filed under the name Phasianus colchicus (ring-necked pheasant). RNAcentral's name for it is "lncRNA (ENSPCLG00000005068.1)". The record is from RNAcentral. Lineage: Eukaryota; Metazoa; Chordata; Aves; Galliformes; Phasianidae.
AGACGCAGGUGCAGCUGAGCCUCCGAGGUGCUCUGCACAGCAAGGGAGUGGGCUGCUCUCCAGGGAGCACUGAGCCAAGGCAAUGAGGCAGACAAAGUGAGCACAGAGAGCACAGGCACUUGGUGGAGGACUGACGAGUGGCACACGGUGGGACACAGGAGGCACUCGCUCCCUGCCCUACUUGAAAUAAAGUGGUCUAGGACUGAUUUGCACAAAACUUUGUCUUAUGCCCAUGAAAAUGUUGAGACAGGUGGCAAAGACAGGUCACAGAUGGAUGAGUUUGAAAUGUUACAUAGAUGGAAGAAACCAGCAGUGCAGAGAGUCUCAAGAGGAAGAGAUGUCCCCCAUAGAGGCAGCUGUUUCUCUACCAUGAAAGUGAGUUGUGUGAUGUGGGAUUUGGAUGGGGCACCCAACCUGCCAACAGCCAUCUGGGCAGUGGCUUAAGAUAUGGCCGUGAAAAGAUGACAUGGAGAGGCACUAAGGCUGGAGCCUACAGUGUAAAGGGAAACAUGCCAUGGAUGAAAUCCUGCUGCUUAAGAAGCAUUAGCAGACACUCAGUUAUCAUCAGGGGACUUUAGCUUUUGUGGCAUCCAAGAUAGUUGCAGCUGUGCAUUCAGAUGGUGGCUGGACAGGAGCAAUAAGGAAACCACAUCCAAGGGGCAGAGGAAGCCCCAGGGACAUCAGAGGUGCCCAUCCUCGACCUGUCCUGCUGAGAAAGAGCAAGCCAGCUCUACCCUUUGGCCAAAAUCAGAAAUAGGUAGAAAUAAGUGACAGUGCUCUGUGGAUAUCUGUUCCUUAGGUUCUACUUUAGGUAGUAUGGUUGGGUUUUGAUGGAAUUUGUUUCUCGUGCUUGUGGAUGUGUAAUGUUAGGCAGAG